Molecule: ribosomal RNA, 253 nt
Filed under: uncultured bacterium
Lineage: Bacteria
Description: partial 16S ribosomal RNA
Rfam family: Bacterial small subunit ribosomal RNA
Source: RNAcentral
UACGGGGGGGGCAAGCGUUGUUCGGAAUUACUGGGCGUAAAGGGCUCGUAGGUGGCCAACUAAGUCAGACGUGAAAUCCCUCGGCUUAACCGGGGAACUGCGUCUGAUACUGGAUGGCUUGAGUUUGGGAGAGGGACGCGGAAUUCCAGGUGUAGCGGUGAAAUGCGUAGAUAUCUGGAGGAACACCGGUGGCGAAGGCGGCGUCCUGGACCAACACUGACACUGAGGCACGAAAGCGUGGGGAGCAAACAGG